CAAACCUCACUGCCCAGUGUACCUCGACCGCCUCCACCUCUCUCAGAGAGUCCGACAAACUCUUCGACAGUGUCGGUCCAAUGUACCUCGGUCGCCUCGACCUCUCUCAGAGAGUCCGACAAACUCUUCGAAAGUGUUGGUGAGGCUUGCGGUCGGUCUCGCCGCCCAUGCCAGUCUCAACCGCAGUCGCUGCCGUUUGGCUCCUCACCGUCCAUGCCCACGCCCUUGAGACGGGCGUCAUCUUCACG
RNAcentral lists this long non-coding RNA (248 nucleotides) under Elaeis guineensis (African oil palm). RNAcentral describes it as "long non-coding RNA (EGUI_LNC004311)". Lineage: Eukaryota; Viridiplantae; Streptophyta; Magnoliopsida; Arecales; Arecaceae. The record is from RNAcentral.